This 1396-nucleotide ribosomal RNA is filed under the name uncultured organism. RNAcentral's name for it is "SSU rRNA". It matches the Rfam family "Bacterial small subunit ribosomal RNA". The record is from RNAcentral.
UGAACGCUAGCUACAGGCUUAACACAUGCAAGUCGAGGGGCAGCAUGGUCUUAGCUUGCUAAGGCCGAUGGCGACCGGCGCACGGGUGAGUAACACGUAUCCAACCUGCCGUCUACUCUUGGACAGCCUUCUGAAAGGAAGAUUAAUACAAGAUGGCAUCAUGAGUCCACAUGUUCACAUGAUUAAAGGUAUUCCGGUAGACGAUGGGGAUGCGUUCCAUUAGAUAGUAGGCGGGGUAACGGCCCACCUAGUCUUCGAUGGAUAGGGGUUCUGAGAGGAAGGUCCCCCACAUUGGAACUGAGACACGGUCCAAACUCCUACGGGAGGCAGCAGUGAGGAAUAUUGGUCAAUGGGCGAGAGCCUGAACCAGCCAAGUAGCGUGAAGGAUGACUGCCCUAUGGGUUGUAAACUUCUUUUAUAAAGGAAUAAAGUCGGGUAUGCAUACCCGUUUGCAUGUACUUUAUGAAUAAGGAUCGGCUAACUCCGUGCCAGCAGCCGCGGUAAUACGGAGGAUCCGAGCGUUAUCCGGAUUUAUUGGGUUUAAAGGGAGCGUAGAUGGAUGUUUAAGUCAGUUGUGAAAGUUUGCGGCUCAACCGUAAAAUUGCAGUUGAUACUGGAUAUCUUGAGUGCAGUUGAGGCAGGCGGAAUUCGUGGUGUAGCGGUGAAAUGCUUAGAUAUCACGAAGAACUCCGAUUGCGAAGGCAGCCUGCUAAGCUGCAACUGACAUUGAGGCUCGAAAGUGUGGGUAUCAAACAGGAUUAGAUACCCUGGUAGUCCACACGGUAAACGAUGAAUACUCGCUGUUUGCGAUAUACUGCAAGCGGCCAAGCGAAAGCGUUAAGUAUUCCACCUGGGGAGUACGCCGGCAACGGUGAAACUCAAAGGAAUUGACGGGGGCCCGCACAAGCGGAGGAACAUGUGGUUUAAUUCGAUGAUACGCGAGGAACCUUACCCGGGCUUAAAUUGCAGAUGAAUUACGGUGAAAGCCGUAAGCCGCAAGGCAUCUGUGAAGGUGCUGCAUGGUUGUCGUCAGCUCGUGCCGUGAGGUGUCGGCUUAAGUGCCAUAACGAGCGCAACCCUUGUUGUCAGUUACUAACAGGUUCUGCUGAGGACUCUGACAAGACUGCCAUCGUAAGAUGUGAGGAAGGUGGGGAUGACGUCAAAUCAGCACGGCCCUUACGUCCGGGGCUACACACGUGUUACAAUGGGGGGUACAGAGGGCCGCUACCACGCGAGUGGAUGCCAAUCCCAAAAACCUCUCUCAGUUCGGACUGGAGUCUGCAACCCGACUCCACGAAGCUGGAUUCGCUAGUAAUCGCGCAUCAGCCACGGCGCGGUGAAUACGUUCCCGGGCCUUGUACACACCGCCCGUCAAGCCAUGGGAGCCGGGGGUACA